GGCUGGAAUAGCUCAGUCGGUAGAGCACUUCACUCGUAAUGAAGGGGUCGUGAGUUCGAGUCUCAUUUCCAGCUU
RNAcentral lists this transfer RNA (75 nucleotides) under Blautia glucerasea. Its description in RNAcentral is "tRNA-Thr(cgt)". It matches the Rfam family "tRNA". Rfam says of the family: Transfer RNA (tRNA) molecules are approximately 80 nucleotides in length. Their secondary structure includes four short double-helical elements and three loops (D, anti-codon, and T loops). Further hydrogen bonds mediate the characteristic L-shaped molecular structure. tRNAs have two regions of fundamental functional importance: the anti-codon, which is responsible for specific mRNA codon recognition, and the 3' end, to which the tRNAs corresponding amino acid is attached (by aminoacyl-tRNA synthetases). tRNAs cope with the degeneracy of the genetic code in two manners: having more than one tRNA (with a specific anti-codon) for a particular amino acid; and 'wobble' base-pairing, i.e. permitting non-standard base-pairing at the 3rd anti-codon position. Lineage: Bacteria; Bacillati; Bacillota; Clostridia; Lachnospirales; Lachnospiraceae. The record is from RNAcentral. RNAcentral also lists the same sequence under 2 other names.